Molecule: long non-coding RNA, 405 nt
Organism: Pecten maximus
Lineage: Eukaryota; Metazoa; Mollusca; Bivalvia; Pectinida; Pectinidae
Exons: 3
Source: RefSeq, a predicted model, not a curated record
ACAGAUUGGAUUUUAGAUACAAGGUAAAAAUAACAGUUUGUUUUCUUUCUUCUUUUAUAGAUUGGUGACUUUGGUCUUGCCCGGGAAUAUGGAUCACCUCUUAAACAAUACACACCAAUAGUUGUCACGUUAUGGUACAGAGCGCCCGAACUUUUACUAGGGUGUAAGGAAUAUGCCACAGCAAUAGACAUGUGGUCAGUCGGUUGUAUAUUUGCCGAAUUCCUGAUGAUGAAAGCGCUUUGGCCAGGGAAGUCCGAGAUCGAUGAAUUGAAUAGAAUAUUUAAGGACCUGGGAACUCCUAACGAGAAAAUCUGGCCAGGUGUCGGCGAGUUACCAGGAAUGAAGAAGUGUACGUUCACAGAUUAUCCCUACAACACCAUACGACAGAAGUUUGGUUCUUACUUC